This 497-nucleotide ribosomal RNA is filed under the name uncultured bacterium. RNAcentral's name for it is "partial 16S ribosomal RNA". It matches the Rfam family "Bacterial small subunit ribosomal RNA", at positions 28 to 507 of the family's 1533-position model. The record is from RNAcentral.
GAUGAACGCUGGCGGCGUGCCUAAUACAUGCAAGUCGAGCGAACAGAUGAGGAGCUUGCUCCUCUGACGUUAGCGGCGGACGGGUGAGUAACACGUGGAUAACCUACCUAUAAGACUGGAAUAACUUCGGGAAACCGGAGCUAAUACCGGAUAAUAUAUUGAACCGCAUGGUUCAAUAGUGAAAGACGGUUUUGCUGUCACUUAUAGAUGGAUCCGCGCCGCAUUAGCUAGUUGGUAAGGUAACGGCUUACCAAGGCAACGAUGCGUAGCCGACCUGAGAGGGUGAUCGGCCACACUGGAACUGAGACACGGUCCAGACUCCUACGGGAGGCAGCAGUAGGGAAUCUUCCGCAAUGGGCGAAAGCUUGACGGAGCAACGCCGCGUGAGUGAUGAAGGUCUUCGGAUCGUAAAACUCUGUUAUUAGGGAAGAACAAAUGUGUAAGUAACUAUGCACGUCUUGACGGUACCUAAUCAGAAAGCCACGGCUAACUACGUG